AAAUAUCUAAAUUACAGUAUUUAGCCUUGACCAUCUACAAUUGUUGUUGUCAAAAUAAUAGUUCGCACUUUGUCAGACAAAUACCCAGGGAACAUCACAAACAAGCAGAAUUGUUUUACACUAAAAUUAGAUGAACUGUGUGCAUUGGCAGUCACUUGACACUACCGUUGGUAAUGCACUUAGCAUAGAUGUGAAGUUUUAGCUGGGUCACUGGAUUACAUCAGGGAUCAAUUCUUUCCUAUUAAACAGGAAACAACAGGUAAUAUUUGAAGGGGCUAGAUCGCAACAAGAUGAUGUACUUUCAUGAGUGCUACAAGGCACAAUCCUUGGGAUUUUAUUGUUUCUAACGUACACCAACGACAUACCCAUCCCGCUGUCCCCAUCUUUGCUGAUGACAAUCUAUUGCACAGAGAAAUAAGUGACGCCAAAGAUACAAUACAACUGCAAAAAGCCUUCAAGUAUUAGAAAAUUGAGAGAAGACAUGGAUGAUCAGAUUUAAUGCAACAAAAUGCAAUGUCAUCCGCAAACCACAGAAGAACAAAGAUCCUAUACAAUAUUAAUACAGCUUACAUGGCCACACACUCGAACCAGUAGAUGGUGCCGUAAACUUCGGAGUAAAAAUAUUCAACAAACCAUCAUUGAAUAAAUAUAUAGAACAUUUUGCAGCAAAGGGAAACCGAACACUUGGAUUUGUUUAACGAAAUUUAAAAGUAUGUACAAGAAAAUUCAAUGCUGCUUUUUAUACAACUUUAGCACGACCUGUCUUGUAGUAUGCUUCCACCAUAUGGACCCAACCAACCAAGCCAACAUUAGCAUUUUAGAAUUUAUUUAAAGGAGAGUAGCUAGAUUCGUCUAUAAUGACUUCAUAACACGUACACCUGGGUGGUUGUUGGAAGAGCUAAAUUGGGACUCAUUACAAACAACUUGACGUGGUGACAGGCUAUGCAUGCUCUAUCGUAUCCAGAAUGGAUUGAUAGUCAUCAACAAGAGUAUUCAAAUCAAAGGUGGAAGCAGUAGAACAAUCAUGGAAUGGAAUACGUUACCUGCCAAUGUUGCUGAAGUGGGAUCCCUCGAUGAUUUCCACUCAGGGCUACAGACUACAUCCAAUUAAUUGGCUCGUCAUUGUAAAUAGUUUCAAUCGUAAAUUAAAAGAUUUUAUUGUA
Long non-coding RNA from Mytilus californianus (California mussel), 1163 nucleotides. RefSeq lists it as uncharacterized. The record is from RefSeq and is a predicted model, not a curated record. The transcript has 3 exons. NCBI's taxonomy places the organism in Eukaryota, Metazoa, Mollusca, Bivalvia, Mytilida, Mytilidae.